AAAAUGGGUUUAUUUAGGAUCAGCAAAGAAGUGCAAUUUGGAGUCCGCAACCACUGCACACACUGUGGAAGUCCGGAGCAGCAAGGGGAGGAGAAACUCUUAUAGACGGGAAGAGGAAGUUGGGAGGGUUACUGUAAACAAGGAGGCCAUUGGAGGAGACUUGGAGCUCCAAGUGUAGUGGCUUUUCAUUGGCUGAGCUUCUUGCUGGCUAAGAAGAGGAAGUAUUUCUUCUUCUGGUUGGACUGCGCUGUCAAUGACAACGUAGGGCGUGAGAGCUGCCCCUUUUGGCCUCCUGACUCCAUGUUAAUGAGUGGCUGUCUUUGUACGAGAAGGCUAGCAUCCAUUCUCAGCUAACCGGAAGCUGAUAUGCUGGACGUGGCCAGGCUUGAAUGCUCUGCGCACAUGCCUCCUGAAGAGAAUGAAAUGUACGCUGGACGUUCCCCAGAUGAGAUUGCCGUCCGUGUCCAGCACCAGGCAAAUUCUCCUCAUUCCUUUCACUUAGUCCUGGCCUCACGAUCCAGCAUUUUUAUAGGAGUUUUAAGGUUUUAUGUUUCUAUUAAAAUUUUCCUUAUUGGUAUAAUCCUACCCAGCAUAUUCUUUCUCUUUUCAACCUGGUGUUAGGGCUGUGAUUAUGAAAACAAUAAGACACCAAAUAGUAAAUCAACAUUUG
Molecule: long non-coding RNA, 670 nt
Filed under: Equus caballus (horse)
Lineage: Eukaryota; Metazoa; Chordata; Mammalia; Perissodactyla; Equidae
Description: lncRNA (ENSECAG00000027972.3)
Source: RNAcentral